Molecule: transfer RNA, 95 nt
Filed under: Planomonospora parontospora
Lineage: Bacteria; Bacillati; Actinomycetota; Actinomycetes; Streptosporangiales; Streptosporangiaceae
Also listed under: 1 other name
Description: tRNA-Cys
Source: RNAcentral
CGCCGCCCUGGCCGGAGCGGGGGCGCAGGUCGCCGCAGCCGACCUGGACGCCGUGCCGGCGGAGUCCGCAGGCGUUCCGGACGCCGCCGCGGCGG